Mercurialis annua (annual mercury) is the source of this 743-nucleotide long non-coding RNA. RefSeq lists it as uncharacterized. The transcript has 2 exons. The record is from RefSeq and is a predicted model, not a curated record. NCBI's taxonomy places the organism in Eukaryota, Viridiplantae, Streptophyta, Magnoliopsida, Malpighiales, Euphorbiaceae.
UUUAGCUUUAUUUGUUAUUUAAUUAAUUGAGAUAAUUGCCGGUAAUAUUUAAUUACUUGGGUUUCAAGCUAUUGAGUUCUAUUUUGAUAUUAAUUAAUAUUUUAUUUAAUAUUAAUUAUAAACUAUGGUUUAUAACUCUGGUUUUAUGGUUGGGUCGGGUUAGACUUGGGUCGCCCGACUUGUGGGAUAGCUUGGUAGUUUUAAGAAAUUCGGCUACCCCACUAUUUGAGGAAUUGAUUUUAUUUAUCAAUUAAAUAUUAUUUUAAUAAUAUUUUCGGAUUGGAUUUAAGUACGAACUCAAUAGUCUUGAAUUAAUUACGGCAUUAUAAUUUAUUUGAGAAUUGUGUUCUUCUGUGAUUUAUCUGGUUAUUUAAUUGUGCUAGUCCUACGUGGUGUCUAGUGAUCUUAGAGUUAGGGGUCAACGGAUUUUAACCUAUUUAUUAUUUUAGACCUGUCGACUGUUCGUGCUUCGGAGUCUACGCAGGGUUAGCUGUUUGCCAAGAUCACGUGGAUAAGCAAGCAGUUUAUGAUUUGAAAGCUGGUCCACUCCGAUUCUUUUGAUUCCUCGGAGGUUUUUAUGUUAUUUAAACUAGUUACUGUUUUCGAACUCUUAGACCGCAGUAGAACUAGUUUAUAUAUUACAUUCAAUAUUACACUUUGGGAUUGUCGAAUUUGAUCGACUAUUUAUUAUUGGCAUGUUUACUCUGGAACACUUUAUAUUAUAUUUAAAGCAUGCUGUGGAA